Molecule: long non-coding RNA, 957 nt
Organism: Pleuronectes platessa (European plaice)
Lineage: Eukaryota; Metazoa; Chordata; Actinopteri; Pleuronectiformes; Pleuronectidae
Exons: 2
Source: RefSeq, a predicted model, not a curated record
AAUGACCAAGCGCUCGUCUCUGCGUUGCAUGCGUUUGUGCACUGCGGCAAGGAUUAUUGCUUCACUUCCUGUAGCCAGCAGGAGGCUCUAUGAACUAGAGGACACACAGAGCAGUGAGCGACCAUGUACGGCGCUCACGGAGCAGAUGUUGGGGGAGUGAGGUGCCUUGCUCAGGGGCACUAGAGAGGAUAGGGAGACUCUUGGAUUUUUGGACAGAUCAAUCCAGGUUUGUCUUUUGUUGUCUCUCCGUGGAGUCGAACCGGAGACAAACCAGAGACCUUCUCUGCCCAUAGUCCAAGUUUCUGCCCUCUACACAUCACUCCAUACGUUGCUCCCUUAACUACAGAUGGCCUGCGAAUGUCAUGGAGUUUUACAGUGAAUUAGACGGUUUAGAUAUGAUUUUAAUCUCCACACAUCAGUGUUGUAAACAGUUCUCAAAUUAAUUAUAUAAUUAUGUUUUCACACUGAGGGAAGUGGAGAGACUUGAUGUGGACUGUUAUCAAUAGCUCUGUGGGAGAUUAUCACCUUGAAUAUUACAGAUGAGGUAGAAAGACAUUUUAUCUAUUUUUACAAUGUUGUAUUUCUUUCAGUACUUUUAUCAAAAGCGACUUAAAAUAUGUGCAUUUAACCAUUAGGAUACAAACCCAGACCACAGUACAACGGUUCUAUCUGAAAUCUGUUGUGCUUCAUACACAACUCAAAACAUUCUUUAACAGUGCGUUUCUUCUCUUCAUAGAUGAGGAACUGCAGCACCUGACGUCGUCAGCAGCAACAUGGUGGUCAACACGUGGACGACUGCAUCAUCAUCAGAAGCUACACAACACUUCUAAAUUCCUCCCUUAAAUAAAGAUGGCCUGCAACUGUUUGGUGGUGGCAGUCAUUGCUAAGUGGCAUGGAUAAGAAUUCAUUUCUAUCUUCAUUAUGGUUGGUUAAAAUAAUAAAAACUUAUAACAACAA